CGGCAUAGCCAUCGCAGAAGCGAGACUCGAGAAUGCAUUGACCGUCUGUGCAGGUGAACUGAUCUUCGGGACAUUCUGCAACAUUUAUGAAAAGUUAAUACUUUCGCUGCCAAGAGGACACAGAACAUGUUGAUUGUCCUUACCGCAGUGCGUCUCGUCAGACUUGUCGUAGCACUGAACGGCGCCGUCGCAGCGUGCCGCGGCCGGCACGCACAACCCGUUGCGACAGCGCCACUCUUGAGGCGAGCACGUGACCAGAUUCAGCUGCCGGCACACGCGCACGCCUCGCAGUCUGUCUACUAGCUGACAUGCCUCGGUCUCCAAGGCACACAGACCUCCACAACCUGCACAGGAAAAUUUAGAUAUAUUAUCCGACUGAGUUAAGAAGGUAACCGAUUGCUAAUAAUAUGUAUGGAAAUGGAGCCUUCGUAUAUUGGUCGAGUGGAUUUUACAACGUGGACUGGCGGGAGCCGGCACCCCGCCCGCUGCCGGGGUCCGACGGCCGCUGGGGGCGGGGCGAGGUGCGGCAGCCAGUAUAACAGAUAAAUACAAGACUUUUACUAACCGAUUUAACAAUUAAAAUUUGAUUGAUAUGAAAGUUUCUCUUUUUCUCCAAGUGUGUUGAAAAACGUCGUAUGAAACGCGUGUGCUAUGGUCAUUACACACAUGGGCUUUCUUAUUGCGUGCUUGCUUGCAGCUCGCGCACAUAAUAUCGCCUCGAGUGUGAUAACCAACUUAGCACACUUGUAUCACAAUGUACUAUAAAAUGAAACUUUUUUUAGAUCGACUAAUUUUUUUCGUCCAUCUAUCGCAUAGCAUGUCGCAUUAUAGUAUUAAAAUUCUUCUUUAUUUCCAUUUUCUAGUACUUAGAGUCCAUUAUCUUUGAAAUAAUAUUCAUUAUCAGAUCAAGGUUACAAUACUUAAUUCACCAAGGCUGAUAUUCGCUUGUAAUUUGAUCAACACUUUACAGUAGACUUUAUUAACCUUAAAUACGGUAACGUUUAAGACGUCAACCUCUCCAUAUCUGUCAAAUUCUACGGUGAAUGGCAAAUAGCCAUAUCAUAGUAGGAAUAUGGAGUGUGGAAUUAAGAGGAGUGGCAUCUCUUAUGGUAGAACUGUUGCAAAAGUGUCCAGCUGUCAGCUAUAAAUAAUAGUUCCAAAUCUCUCCAGAGUAGCGCUAGAGUAGCUAAAAACCUAGGCGUUAUUGACGGAGUGAAUUGCGCUGUCUAUGAUUUGUUUUUUUGUUCAAGUACUCUAGGUAUUGUAGCGCCACCUAUUUAAAGUUUAUUGAUGACACUUUUUGGUACAUGGAGAUUUCGUUCCUUAUGUCCACCUUCCGUAAGUAGGAAGUUUACAGUCACAUACGACGAUGACGUCACGAUUCCGUCAAACCAUUCCCACAACGGUUGGCCACUCGCAAGCGACUAAGGCAUCUCGAAAAUCUCAGUGUAACGAGAUCCGUACCUAACAACGUAUGCGUAAUCGGAGAGCUUAUUUAUGCCGGUUUCUUUAGCCCUUGACUCCCGUAUGAUAAGUAAGCGAAAUUAAUAAUAAUAAUUAAUUACAGCGCCAUUCCGUGUUGAGUAGCUGAAUCACAUUGGCGUUGGGCGAGCUUUUGUAAGAUAAGUUACGAUUAAAAACACGUUUUUAUUACCCUAAAUCGAAUAAUUUUCCGAUUUUGUUAAUGCCUACAAUACGAAAAGAAUCAACUUUUAAAUUUUUUUUAUUUUAUUUUAUUUAAACUUGGGAAACAAACAGGCAAAAUAGUACAAUAAAAUAAUUAAUUUAGACAAUUCACAGCCAAAACAGUUUACACUUAUGACUAAUAUUAUUUAUGAUUGCUCAGACAAGACUUAAUUUAUUGGGUUACUACAACACCAAUAUAUUUUGUACAUUACAGAGAUAAUUAUAUUAGAAGACACGUAUAUUUACCAUUAACAUUUUUAAACCAUUUUACUUACAUUUAUUUAUUUUUUACUUUAUUUUUAUGAUUUUUUUUUCGGAGAAACAAACUGUUUACAAACGGUUGUGUAAUUUUACCUAAGCCAUGGCUAAAUUGCUUAAGCUUUAUGGGAUUUUGUCAGUUUUCGUCAGUGUUUCACACAUAGGAAUAAGGGACGUAAUGUAAACUUACCCGUAGGAUCAUCGGAGUCGAUAGCUUUCCUGCAAUCAGGUGUUCCGCUGCUUUCGUUUAGCAUGCAUAUUUCAUCUGUUUGGCACGAGCAGAAACUUUGCGAUACAAUGUCUCGAUUUAUGAUAUCUUUAGGUUUUUGGCUUUCUUUGCUUUUGUUAGAGUUUCU
Long non-coding RNA from Cydia pomonella (codling moth), 2300 nucleotides. RefSeq lists it as uncharacterized. The transcript is spliced from 3 exons. The record is from RefSeq and is a predicted model, not a curated record. Lineage: Eukaryota; Metazoa; Arthropoda; Insecta; Lepidoptera; Tortricidae.